AUAUCUUUAAGAUUAGAAAUUAAAGUAAAGCCUGCUCCAUGAUUUAAAUAGCCGCAGUCAACUGUGCUAAGGUAGCAUAAUCAUUAGCCUUUUAAUUAAAGGAUAGAAUGAAAGGCUAAACGAAAAACAUCCUGUCUCAUUCGGACAAUUGAAAUUAUCAAAAGAGGUAAAAAGACCCUUGCUAUUUAAUAAGACGACAAGACCCUAAAAAACUUAAAUUUUGCUGGGGCGGCACUCAAAUAACACCUUAGAAAAACCUAUGAAAAACCUUAUCAUAUAAAAACAAGUUACUAUAGGGAUAACAGCGCAACCUCUCUCUAGAGUCCUAAUCUAAAAAGAGAACUACGACCUCGAUGUUGAAUUAGCUAAACACUUACAAAAUAUCGAAGCAAAAAUCUCAUUGUGUUGGUCUGUUCGACCAUUAAAAAGCU
This 431-nucleotide ribosomal RNA is filed under the name Ibotyporanga naideae. RNAcentral's name for it is "partial 16S ribosomal RNA". It matches the Rfam family "Bacterial large subunit ribosomal RNA", at positions 1828 to 2597 of the family's 2925-position model. The record is from RNAcentral. Lineage: Eukaryota; Metazoa; Arthropoda; Arachnida; Araneae; Pholcidae.